GAUGUGUUUUUUUAAAAAUCGAACAUAGGGGAAAUUGCAUGCAAACUCCUAUGUUCGCAUUUUAAAAAAUCUCACUGUAUAUUUUGAUAAUCUUUAAUAUUUUAGGUAUCUGCUUUUUCUUUACAUUUAUUUUUACAUUAUAGUUUUUAAACAUAAGACCAAAGCUUAAAAUAAGCUUAUAUUUCAUAGUACAACUUCCACUGAGUUUAAUUGGUUACGAAUUACCAAUGGAAGAAUGAGAAAAGUUUGAAUAAGUCCAAGAUCUUAGACCAUAUAGUACAUGGACUGCUAAUUGUAACUAAAAUAUGGUCAAGGACAUCGCCUGGGUAUGGAUGGAGAUAAUGACACACUACUCAUUAAAAUCGAACCAAAACAAGAAGAAGAAAUCGAUUCCUUUCUUCAGGAACAUAUUUCUAUAAGCAAUGAAGCUUUGGUGACAAUAAAGUACGAAAUUACCAUUAA
Long non-coding RNA from Photinus pyralis (common eastern firefly), 462 nucleotides. RefSeq lists it as uncharacterized. The record is from RefSeq and is a predicted model, not a curated record. NCBI's taxonomy places the organism in Eukaryota, Metazoa, Arthropoda, Insecta, Coleoptera, Lampyridae. The transcript is spliced from 2 exons.